This is a small nuclear RNA of Hyaena hyaena (striped hyena), 104 nucleotides long. Lineage: Eukaryota; Metazoa; Chordata; Mammalia; Carnivora; Hyaenidae. The record is from RefSeq and is a predicted model, not a curated record.
GUGCUCGCUUUGGCAGCACAUAAACUGAAAUCGAAACUGUACAGAGACUAGCAUGGCCCCUGUGCAAGGAUGACACGCAAAUUCGUGAAGCGUUCCAUAUUUUU